UAUCGAUACUCAGAUGCUAAUCAUUGUAAUCAGUAAGUAUUUUCGUUCUUGUAAUGAUCGCUGGAUUUUACUCAAGUUAGAAAUGGACCACAAUACCAUGGAGAUUUAUGAUUUGAAGAGUCAAACCACAGUGAUAGCAAUGCCUUGGUUAUACCACCAUACAGACCAUGCAUUGCAUCAAUUGAAACACUUUUAACAAAGUCAAAAUGAGGAAAACAGGACAUAAUGGAUAAUUCUUGAAUCCCAUGUAUCUGUUAAUUGUACAGAGAGAAGAAAUAAUAGAGAAAAGAAUCUGAAGGACAUGCUUAAAAAUGCAAGCCAUAAAUAACUUUAUCAGUGUGACUAAUUUAAACUU
This is a long non-coding RNA of Amphimedon queenslandica, 355 nucleotides long. RefSeq lists it as uncharacterized. The transcript is spliced from 4 exons. The record is from RefSeq and is a predicted model, not a curated record. Lineage: Eukaryota; Metazoa; Porifera; Demospongiae; Haplosclerida; Niphatidae.